This 482-nucleotide ribosomal RNA is filed under the name uncultured bacterium. RNAcentral describes it as "partial 16S ribosomal RNA". It matches the Rfam family "Bacterial small subunit ribosomal RNA", at positions 28 to 507 of the family's 1533-position model. The record is from RNAcentral.
GAUGAACGCUAGCGGCAGGCCUAAUACAUGCAAGUCGAACGAGAUUAAGAGGCUUGCUUCUUAUGAAAGUGGCGCACGGGUGCGUAACGCGUAUGCAACCUACCUUAAUCAGGGGGAUAGCCCGAAGAAAUUCGGAUUAAGACCGCAUAAAAACACAGGAUAGCAUUAUCCAAUGUUCAAAUAUUUAUAGGAUUAAGAUGGGCAUGCGUGUCAUUAGCUAGUUGGCGGGGUAACGGUCCACCAAGGCGACGAUGACUAGGGGAUCUGAGAGGAUGACCCCCCACACUGGUACUGAGACACGGACCAGACUCCUACGGGAGGCAGCAGUAAGGAAUAUUGGUCAAUGGAGGGAACUCUGAACCAGCCAUGCCGCGUGCAGGAAGACAGCCCUCUGGGUCGUAAACUGCUUUUAUUCGGGAAUAAACCUUUCUACGUGUAGGAAGCUGAAUGUACCGAAGGAAUAAGGAUCGGCUAACUCCGUG